RNAcentral lists this microRNA precursor (155 nucleotides) under Pelobates cultripes (western spadefoot toad). The record is from RNAcentral. Lineage: Eukaryota; Metazoa; Chordata; Amphibia; Anura; Pelobatidae.
CAGCAGACACAUUCCAGCCAAUCAGCAGCAGACCCUCCCUCCCAGACCGUCCUGGACAGCAUCCAUUUUGAAGCUGCAUUCUUAGUGAGCUGUCCAGGAGGUGGCAGGGACUGGGAGGGAGGGUCUGCUGCUGAUUGGCUGGAAUGUGUCUGCUG